CUGCAAGGAUGAUUUAAGAACUGAACUCUCUCUUUCUGAUGGCUCCAUGGAGAAAGCAGAAAUUCUGAGUAGC
This is a non-coding RNA of Fukomys damarensis (Damara mole-rat), 73 nucleotides long. NCBI's taxonomy places the organism in Eukaryota, Metazoa, Chordata, Mammalia, Rodentia, Bathyergidae. The record is from Rfam.